Molecule: ribosomal RNA, 250 nt
Filed under: uncultured bacterium
Lineage: Bacteria
Description: partial 16S ribosomal RNA
Rfam family: Bacterial small subunit ribosomal RNA
Source: RNAcentral
CUAGUGGCAAACGGGUGAGUAACAUGUAAGCAACCUACCUUCUAGACGGGCAUAACCCCGCGAAAGCGGAGCUAAUUCCCGAUAUGGUUAGAGAAAAGCAUUUUUUUCUAAACAAACGAAUUAAAUCGCUAGAAGAUGGGCUUACAUCCUAUCAGCUUGUUGGCGGGGUAACGGCCCACCAAGGCGACGACGGGUAGCUGGUCUGAGAGGACGAUCAGCCACAAGGGAACUGAGACACGGUCCCUACUCC